UAGGGAAUCUUCGGCAAUGGGGGGAACCCUGACCGAGCAACGCCGCGUGAGUGAAGAAGGUUUUCGGAUCGUAAAGCUCUGUUGUUAAGGAAGAACGAGCGUGAGAAUGGAAAGUUCAUGUGGUGAUGGUACUUAACCAGAAAGGGACGGCUAACUACGUGCCAGCAGCCGCGGUAAUACGUUGGUCCCGAUCGUUGUCCGGAUGUAUUGGGCGUAAAGCGAGCGCAGGCGGUUAGAAAAGUCUGAAGUGAAAGGCAGUGGCUCAACCAUUGUAGGCUUUGGAAACUGUUUAACUUGAGUGCAGAAGGGGAGAGUGGAAUUCCAUGUGUGGCGGUGAAAUGCGUAGAUAGAUGGAGGAAAAACGGUGGCGAAAGAGGAUCUCUGGUCUGUAACUGACGCUGAGGCUCGAAAGCGAGGGGAGCGAACAGG
This 429-nucleotide ribosomal RNA is filed under the name Verrucomicrobiota bacterium. RNAcentral describes it as "Verrucomicrobia bacterium partial 16S ribosomal RNA". It matches the Rfam family "Bacterial small subunit ribosomal RNA", at positions 355 to 776 of the family's 1533-position model. Lineage: Bacteria; Pseudomonadati; Verrucomicrobiota. The record is from RNAcentral.